CGAACGGCGGGGGAGUCAGGAGGGCUGAGAGAGGGAGAGGGAUUGCUCAAUCUCUGUCAGCGCAGCGCACGUCUGAGAGGAUUACCCCGUCGGCGGGGGCGGGGGGGGGGGAGCACGGAUCACACCGCUUCACACUCCUCCAAGCCACAAAGGACUACCACUGGGGGGAGAAAUUAAAAAGCAAGCGUAUAAUAAUAAAAAAAUUGCAUUUUUAUUUAAUCAUAUUUUUUUAUUUCAGUGACUGAAUGUGUGUUUAUUUCAAAGUUAAUCUCUCCUGAGAGGGAGUUCAGCGCUUCUUGCAUAACUAAAAUGGAAUUUAUAAGUAUUGUUUUAUUCCCUUCUCUUUCAUCACCAAACACCCCCCACCCACCCACCCACACACACACACACACAGCACACAUACACACAUUCAAGUUAUUGCAUGACAUACCAGCAUCAUUUAAAUAUUUUCAAACUCCCCCCCCUUAUAAAAAACCUUGAUAUAAUUCAUCACACUCGGGUCAGAGAUAAAGCCUUUGAUUUAGCAGUUUCUUUUCUCCCUGCACUACUGUAACACAACGGGAAACAAAAUUACCAAUGAAAUCACUGUGUACCGUAUGCCACAAAAGAAUUUGAAUAUAUACAUACAAUUAAGGAGGGACAAACUCUACUCCUCCUGCAUAGUAAGACGGAACACAAAGCAAAUUAAACCGUCAAUCAGUGAGUGUGUCUGGGGAUUGAUGAGCAGCGGUAAACCGAGUUUUCUCCUCCGGGGAGACGCUAAAUUAGGCUGCUGAUGUGCAGUGAUUCUCUGUGUGAGCGAGUGCGUUGAAAUGCGCAUUUCAGUGAAACGUUCAGGCCAUCCUGCUCCGGGCGGAAGCCACGGAGGGAACAGAAAACUGUUUUGAUUGACAGCUGGUAGAAACACUAAUAGAGAAGAGGGUGGGGGGUGGGGGGAGGGGGUGUUCAGCAAUUCCCCAGAGCUUAGCUCUUGGAGACCAAGACGAUACUAAGUAUUAAUUAAAUUAUUAUUAAAUGAGGUUGGCCCACAAUUUUUUUUUAAAGAAUACAAUAUAUUUAUGUUUUUUUUAUUUAUUGGGAACGUUUAUUGGGAUUUAUUUUUCUGUCUCUCGCUCAGCUAAUAUCUCGUUCAACCAUAUCAUGCCAUACCACACAGUACAGUAACAUGCUACCAUCACUGGUUCACAUGCAGUACAGUAACAUCCUACAAUUACAUGAUUACAUGCAGUACAGUACAAUCACAGGUUCACAUGCAGUAACAUGCUACAAUCACAGUAUCACAGGCAGUACAGUAACAUGCUACAAUCACAGUAUCACAGGCAGUACAGUAACAUGCUACAAUCACAGUAUCACAGGCAGUACAGUAACAUGCUACAAUCACAGUAUCACAGGCAGUACAGUAACAUGCUACAAUCACUGGUUAACACACAGUACAGUUACAUGCUACAAUCACAGUAUCACAGGCAGUACAGUAACAUGCUACAAUCACAGUAUCACAGGCAGUACAGUAACAUGCUACAAUCACAGUAUCACAGGCAGUACAGUAACAUGCUACAAUCACUGUAUCACAGGCAGUACAGUUACAUGCUACAAUCACAGUAUCACAGGCAGUACAGUAACAUGCUACAAUCAACAGAUCACAGGCAGUACAGUAACAUGCUACAAUCACAGUAUCACAGGCAGUACAGUAACAUGCUACAGUCAUAGACUUCCAUGUCUUUUUUUCUAUGAGUGUCAUGCACUCAUAUGGAGACCAUGAGUGGCUAGGCAUCCUCUGAUGGUUUAUUGAUGCGUUUAUUGUCUCUCUCUUGGUUGGUCUGUUCCAUUGCAUUGCGAUAUUUGGUUUUCUUGUUUGUUACAUUUCGAUGUACUGUUCCGUAUACUGACUUUUUUGUACAAUAACUGAGUGAGAAUGUAUCAUGGGAAAAAAUUGUACAGUAGUUCUUUUAUUUCCAUGUUUGGAAAAAGUGAGAAGGUGCUUUACUGUAUCGUUACAACAUAAGCGUGUACUUGAUUUGCAUAGUCACGUUUCUCACCUGAAGUUGUAGAAAAAAAGAAAAUAUGUUCUGUGGUCAAAGAUUUUGCUACAAAAAAGAUAAAUAUGAUAAAUUCCUAAGAA
Anguilla rostrata (American eel) is the source of this 2119-nucleotide long non-coding RNA. RefSeq lists it as uncharacterized. The record is from RefSeq and is a predicted model, not a curated record. Lineage: Eukaryota; Metazoa; Chordata; Actinopteri; Anguilliformes; Anguillidae. The transcript has 2 exons.